ACAGAUAACUAGUCUAACAUAAGACAACUAAUUUCGACUUAGUUAAUCGUGAUUAAACUUCACGGCUAUCAA
This 72-nucleotide transfer RNA is filed under the name Chelonoidis carbonarius (red-footed tortoise). RNAcentral describes it as "tRNA-Arg". Lineage: Eukaryota; Metazoa; Chordata; Testudines; Testudinidae. The record is from RNAcentral.